Molecule: small RNA, 28 nt
Filed under: Bombyx mori (domestic silkworm)
Lineage: Eukaryota; Metazoa; Arthropoda; Insecta; Lepidoptera; Bombycidae
Description: ovarian small RNA-1408
Source: RNAcentral
UAUCAGUAAGCAAAACAGUGGUUGACGG